Oncorhynchus nerka (sockeye salmon) is the source of this 4752-nucleotide long non-coding RNA. RefSeq lists it as uncharacterized. The record is from RefSeq and is a predicted model, not a curated record. Lineage: Eukaryota; Metazoa; Chordata; Actinopteri; Salmoniformes; Salmonidae. The transcript is spliced from 5 exons.
UUGCGCAGUAACCUGCAUGUCUGUAAAAAGCCGCUUGCUGGGCUAGAAAGAGAAGGGAAGCCUCUGCUAACCAAAGAUAACGAAUUAGCUAGAUCAAUAAAAGCGUUGUACAGUCAUUUAGCUAACUAUUUUAAUAUAUGAUUAAAUAAACGACGAAGAUAGUGGCGUAAUAUUGUUACUGUUGGUAAUCUUAGUUUGCAAUGCUAUGCUAACUUUAGCUAGCUACGUAGCUAACGUUACUUGACUAUUAUUUCCAAAGCUGCAAAAUAAGAAGUUACCAAUCUAACAUUAAUCCUCUACAAUAUAUAUUUGUCUCACAAUAUAUAACGCAGCUGAUGACGAAGAUGCUGCUUUUUGGCAACACCUUCUGUCCAAAGAAUAACCCUCGCAAGUUUUUUUCUGUCUUAAAUCUGCACACGUUGGAUUGGUCUACGAGGGAAAUAGAGUUGGGUCUUGAGUAUGGAGCCCCUGUUAUGAACAUUGGGGGCAAUAGCUUGACAUUUGAAGACGGACAAUGGAUUGCUGUCUGAAGGGAAUGUAUCUGGGAAGGAGGCGCAGACUGAAAAAUAGCAACCUAUAGCUUGAAAAGGAGAACAACCUACUCGGGCUGAAGAUUGACCUCCUGUUGGACAUGUUGUCAGAAACCACUGCAGAGUAUCACCUGAUAGAGAAGGAGCUGGAAAAGAUGAAGAUUCACAGUCGAAGGAAGAAGUGAUGAAUAGAAAAUUACAGACAGGUUCCCAGUGAUACCUGAAAAUGAAGAAGGGAAUAGAUAAAGGAUUGUGAGUGUUAGUGACCAAUUCAUUGUAUUUGAUUUAUUUUACCUUUAUUUAACCAGGAAAGUCAGUUAAGAACAAAUUCUUAAUUUUUUUUAACCUUUAUUUAACUAAACAAGUCAGUUAAGAACAAAUUAUUAUUUACAAUGAAGGCCUACCCCGGCCAAACCCUAACCCGGAUGACGUUGGGCCAAUUGUGCGCCGCCCUAUGGGACUCCCGAUCACAGCCGGUUGUGAUACAGCCUGGAAUCGAACCAGGGUCUGUAGUGACGCCUCUAGCACUGAGAUGCAGUGCAUGACACAGAACCCAAACCGUCUGCGUGCGCCAUCGUGCAUAAAUGUAUUUUGUCCCCCUACACCAAACGCGAUCGCGACACGCAGGUUAAAAUAUCAAAACGAACUCUGAACCAAUUAUAUUCAUUUGGGAACAGGUCAAAAAGCAUUAAACAUUUAUGGUAAUUUAGCUAGUUAGCUUGCACUUGCUAGCUAAUUUGUCCUAUUUAGCUAGCUUGCUGUUGCUAGCUAAUUUGUCCUGGGAUAUAAGCAUUGAGUUGUUAUUUACCUGACAAUUAAUCCACAGAUAAAACGGUCAACUGAAUCGUUUCUAGUCAUCUCUCCUCCUUCCAGGCUUUUUCAUCUUUGAACUUACAGUGGGGCAAAAAAGUAUUUAGUCAGCCACCAAUUGUGCAAGUUCUCCCACUUAAAAAGAUGAGAGAGGCCUGUAAUUUUCAUCAUAGGUACACUUCAACUAUGACAGACAAAAAUGCCCAACUGUUUAUGGUGAUUGGCAUCUAAACUUUCAUAGUAUUACUACACCGACCGGCAACACAGUUCGUCUUUCAAUCACCCACGUGGGUAUAACCAAUGAGGAGAUGGCACGUGGGUACCUGCUUCUAUAAACCAAUGACAAGAUGGGAGAGGCAGGAUUUGCAGUGCAAUCUGCGUCAGAAAUAGAAAGGACUUCUAUUUUAGCCCUUGGCAACACAGACACUCGCGAGCAGUGUGGGUGCAAUAAUUGAAUAACAGAUUUUCUACAUUUAUUUUGCAAAGCUCGCGCACGCGUUGCGAGUGGUGUGGUCGGCCUAUUAGACCACUGCACCACUCGGGAGCCCAUGUACUGUAUAAAUGAUAUAUUUCUAAUUUCUACGGAUUUAAAAUCAUUGAAGUUAUGAUAGUUUAAAUGUGUCCUGUCCUUUUAUAAAAUGCAUUUAUUUGAUUCAUUAACUUUUGUAAGCCACUGAUGACCUAUUUUAGAAUACUAUGAUUUCUGGUUUUGGCAGCUAAGUGUAUUUUAAUAUUUGAUUUCAGAUUUCUUCUACUUUAUUAAAAGGUUUUAAAUACAUUUUAGAAAGCUAUGUUUUGUUUGUUUGCAUACAUGUCUGUAUAAGUAUGCAAGUGCCCAUACUAAUGCCACCGUCUGAUGUGGUAUUUUCAAGAGGUAGUGGCUGGUAUUGGUGAUUUAUAGUGGUUAGUAUUGGUGAUUUAUAGUGGCCGGUAUUGGUGGUUAUAGUGGCCGGUAUUGAAUGAACAACACUUUCAGAAUUUUCUGAUUAAUUCAGCAUAACAGCAUGACCUUAGAAUUGUCAGAAACCCAGGAGUGACAGGGACUAUAUUCUAGAUGUGGAGGUCACACAUUCAACAUGUCUUCAGGACUAUAUCUUGGGUUAUUACCGCCUCUCUCUCAGUUUCCUGUGGUUUUGUGUCACAGGUGAGAUGAUUGUUGUUAUUACAAUGUAAUUGCUAGAUGGUUAUUGUUACACCAGAUGCUGAAUGUGACUGCAAGCUGUACUGCACAGACAAACGUCAUUAGAGGUAUUUAAUUCUAUGGCUCAAUAGCUUUCACAAACUGGCCAAGUCCGUGUAAACAAAUUCUAUAAAGACAAUCAUAAUCCAAAGGCUCAGUCAGUCAUACAUUGAGUAAGCAUUGCAGGUCAGGCUACACCGGUGUGUGGGAAAACACAUAGACCUUUUGACCGAGUAUGGUAAUGAAUUGACCAAGAGUGAUGUUUGAAUUAUUAGUCAUUGUACCAGUACAGUGUGAGCCACAGAACCUUUCUUCCAAAAUAUAUCAUUGAUCGGUUUGUGAGGGUUUGAGAAAUGAGUCUUCUUGGCCAACUUACAGACCCACUCCUUCCUCCUAGAGAGGACUAUCCUCUUGAGGGACAAUGGGAGUCCGUACAACCAAGAGGAUGAGUGCUGGACCCCUAAUGGUGGCUGGAUGCUGGAUGGUGGCUGGACCCCUGUUGGUUGCUGUGGCUGGAUGGUGGCUGGGGCUAGACUUUGCCUGGGGCUGGAUGGUGGCUGGGGCUACUCAUCUGUUUCGUCGUCACUGGGUUCUGCUACGCCUCCCCAAAAGCUGUCAGUGUCUCCUUCAAGGAGCUGAUGAGGGACUUUGAUGUGGGCCACAGUGACACGGUCUGAAUCUCCUCCAUCAUGCUGCCCAUGCUCAAUGGAUCAGGUCAGAGGUCAAUCAUAGAGUUGAUACAGGGGCCUCUGAGAGCUUGAAUCGUAUACGAAACAAAGCUGUCAGAUGUUUAAAAAAAAUAUAUAUAAAAAAACAUUCAAUGGGAGAAACAAAACAGAAAUGUGAGUCUCUUGCAGUUCUGCAUCAUUUCAUUAAUAAAUACACAUGGCCUGUUUGUCUGUGAACGCCUUCUGCCCAGGCCCAGUGUCCAGUAUCACGGUCAACAGGUUUGACAGCAGGUCGUGAUGCAGGUCGGAGGUUUGCUGGCAUCAGCAGGCAUGGUGGGAGCUUCCUUCACCACCGCCAUUAAACAGCUUUACCUUUCAGGUUCUGCUAGACCACUAUGGCUGAAGACAAGGCUUUCUCAUCAUGGGGGACUGCUGCUCAACUGUGGGGCUUUCAUGAGACCUCUGGAGAGGAGGAGGAAAUGGGAGAAGGGAACGAACCAGCGCUGAAAGAAAAGUUUCCUUCAAAAGUAGGAAAGGAGAAGAAUGGAAUAGAAAAUAAGCUUUUGGACUUAAGGGGGAUGCCUGAACAGGGGGCUGUUGAUCUUCACUGAGUGGACAAAACAUUUGGAACACCUUCCUAAUAUUGAGUUGCACCCCUUUUUCAGUCGGAAUAGCCUCAAUUCAUCGGGGCAUGGACUCUACAAGGUGUCAAGCGUUCCACAGGGAUGCUGGCCCAUGUUGACUCCAAUGCUUCCCACAGUUGUGUCAUGUUGGCUGGAUGUCGUUUGGGUGGUCAACCAUUCUUGAUACACACGGGAAACUUGACCGUGAAAACCACAGCAGCGUUGCAGUUCUUGACGCACUCAAACCGGUGCGCCUGGCACCUACUAGCAUACCACGUUCAAAGGCACUUAAAUCUGUUAUUUUGCCCAUUCACCCUCUGAAGGGCACACGUACAAAAUACAUGUCUCAUUUGUCCCAAGGCUUGAAAAUACUUAUUUAACCUGACUCCUCCCCACAUGCACAAGUACAGUGAAAUGCCUUUCUUGCAGCUCUAACCCCAACAAUGCAGGAAUCAAUAACAAUGUAAUACUAAAAAAAAACAUAAGGUAGGAAAAAACACACACUAAAUAGAAAUAAGAAGAUGAGAAAGUAAGAAGCUAUAUACAGGGUCAGUUCCAGGGUCAGUAGUGAAAUACAGGGUCAGUAGCGAAAUACAGGGUCAGUUCCAGGGUCAGUAGCGAAAUACAGGGUCAGUUCCAGGUUCAGUUCCAAUACCAUAUUUACAAUAUGCAGGGUUACUGGAGUGAUAGAGGUACAGUGCCUUUAGAACGUUUUCAUACCCCUUGAUUUAUUCAACAUUUUGUUGUGUUACAGCCUGAAUUCACAAUACCCCAUAAUGACAAAGUGAAAACAUUUUUUUGAAACGUUUGCCAAUUUAUUGAAAAUGAAAUACAGAAAUAUCUCAUUUACAUAAGUAUUCACACCCCUGAAUCAAUACAUGUUAGAAGCACCUUGGCAGCCAUUACAGCUUUGAUUAUUUCUGGAUAAAUCGCUAAGAGUU